UUUUUUGUUUUUUUUUUUUUUUUUUUUAGUUUUUUGGGUUUUGGUUUGGUUUUGUUUGUUUUUGUUCCUCCAGACCGUGCUUGCUAGAAUUUUAUGGAACUUUUAAACUGUAAAGGAAAAUAUAGGCUGAUGGGAACGGGACAAGUCCGUAAAACCCAGAAUGAGGUCAAGAGAUGAAAUUUGAGCACGCUUGUUAGAAACAGAGAAAAAUGAAGAGAUGUUAACAGGAGAACCUGUUUACUAAAUCUCAUGGCCAAUUUAGUGAAUCUUUAUCAUUGUUUAUUAUAGUAUAGUCAGUUUUCUGACUUCCAAAUUCUAUCAUGAUUUUUAAAGCUCAUUUAUUUUUAAGUAAUCUCUACACCCAACGUGGGGUUCGAACUCACAAUCCCGAUAUUGAGUCUCCUGCUCUCCCAACUGAGCCAGAUAAGCACCCCACACAGUUGUGAUUUUAUUUUAAUACGUUGGGCUCCUUCCUAACCAGUCCGCAUAAAUGUGAAAGUGCUCUGGGGGGGGCAUGCUGUGGAGAUACACAUUAUAACUAGACAGGUUUUUGUCCAAUAUGUAAUCUAUCCCUCCCUGGUCCUCCCAACCACAUACACACAAAUAGGUGGUAUAUGACCACUCAAAGGUCAUAAUAAUUACAGGAGCAAGAAAGGAACUAAAACGUAUUACAUGUCGAGGAUGUGUCCAAUACUUUACCUAUAUGGUACAUUAUCUUGUGUGAUUUUAGCAAUUUGAUUUAGAUACUAAUAUGCCAGUUUAUGUGUGUCUGUGACAUCGUGUUAUGGCAGCCCUAGCAAACCAAUGCGCUCUCCCAUCAUACUUCCAUUUACUACUUCAUAUGCAGUCUUUAUGAGUGAUCCUGGAAAACAGCACACUAAUUCUUGUUCCUACCUCUUUUUUUGAGGGCAGGGGAGGGACAGAGGGGGAGGGAGAGACAAUCUUAAGCAGGCUCCACACUGGCUCCACCCAGUGGGGCUCCAUCUCACAACCCUGAGAUCAUGACCUGAGCCGAAAUCAAGAGCUGGAUGCUUAACUGAGUGAGCCACCGAGGUGCCCCUCUUGUCCCCAACUUUUAUCCAAGCUAGAAUUACUGCCUGAUUUUCUUCAUCCCUUGCUUAAAAGCAUAGGGUUUUGAAGUCCAACAAACCUGGAUUCAAAUCCCAGCUGCAUUCACUUAACUAACAGCUUUAAUUAACUUCUCUGAGACUGUUUUCUCAUCCAUAAAUGGAAAUAUUAACUAUAUCCAAUCAGUAUGUACGUUAUAAUAUGCGUAGCACAACUCCCAGCACACAGUGUACAGUACACAUUCAACGAUGAUAGUUGCAAUUACUAUCCAUUUUUCAAAGCCCCAUUUAGUACUUGAUUGUUAAGCAUUUUGGCUUCUCUGGACCACCAGCCAAACUUGAAGAGAAUAUAGAAGGAGGGAAUCAUGGAGCCAAGUUUGGACUGGACUACAGUCUUGAUGCCACUGAAAAUGUUGGAGUUCAUGUGAUAAGCCAUGGGGAACCAUUCAGGAUUUCUAAACUGGGAAAAACAUGACCAAAGCCGUGCUUUAGGAAAGACAAAGCAGCAGGUGAGACAGGUGAUCAGGAGAGACAGUCCACAGCGGGGACAGGUACUAAAGGAUGGAAGGAGCGUAGUGCCUAUGGGAAUAGGAAGUGAGGAAUUGUUUAAAAAAACAUUUCAGACAAAUAAUCUAUAGGGCUGGCAACAGACUGAACACAGAAAGAUAGGAGAGAGUCAGGAGUACCCAACACCUUAAGACUGAUACAGUGGUAGCACCAUGAACAAAAAUACGAGCCAGGUGACGGAGAGUUGUGGGAGUUUGAUUUUAACCUCCACACGGCACUUCCCGUGCUGCUCCUACUACCGCAUCUCGCCCCAUAUCUGCAGUCCUAUCAGGGCAGUCUGCAUGCCCUUCCCUUCCAGUAAAACUUCAAGAAGGCAUUUCAAAAUUAAAUCACACUGAGACAUAAACAGUCAUCUGACUAUUUGCAUUUUAAAAGAGACCUCCCCAAACGAACCACCAUGAAAUGUGGAUAACUGACAAACACAAGAGAGGUACGAGAUGCAGAGGGCAUGUCCUUUCAACAUUACUAUCACCAGACAGUUCCCUUCCAACUUGCUACAAACACUUCGGUUGGCUGCAACCUAUCUAGCACCAUCUCUGGAUUUACACAUUAGUGUUGUAUCUAAGACUCCUUUUCUCGUCUUAAUGCCGGAUGAUGUUCAGGACCACAGAUAAACAGAACUGUUUUCAUUGCCUGUUUAAAAGAUAUGAAACAUCAGCACAGAGCAGCAGGCCUGGGAAGGUCCGUGAUGCAUCAGUGUCUGCCCCGUUCAGAUAGUUUCAGUUCAUGUUACUAGAGAUGCUAAGGGGACACUCAGCAGCCUUGCCCAGGGAUCAUUUUCCAUUUCCUCCAACCCUUGACUUCCCUAUUUAAACCCACCUCCUUUACCCUCAACAAAGGUAUGAAAUAGAAACUUCUUACAAUCUUCAAAAUACUUUUUCACAGAUUAAAAAAUGAUUUAAAAUUCACUAUUUUUUUUCAUUCUGGGUUAUUCCGAUUUUUUUUCCACAUUCUGUGUCCAACUAAAACUCAUGGAGUGACCACUGCUUACACUGUGGAGGAGAGAGAAGGAGGCGGAUGAGAGGAAAGUGAAAAUCUGAAGUCACACAAUUUCCUUCCUCAAGGUGUUCUUGGUUUAGUUCAUCUUCAUCCACAUCUGUGGAUCACCUCUGUAGCUCUCAUCCUUGAGCCUCCCACCAGCCUCUUGAAGUUUCUUUUAAAUGUGGGAAUCCAUAGCAAGGGGCACACAUUUUCAAGAGGAUCUGACCCAGAUGGAAUCUAAGUGCCUUCCCUCCAUGAUUCUCAUGGGAGUUAUUCACAGCCACGCAUUUGUUUGUGUGUUCACUGUAGUAUGUGGACAGGUGAGGGUGAGGCUGAUUUGUUUUAAUAGCCGUAGUGCUGAGUCAUUCAGAUUAUUUAUUCUCAAUUUCCUAUCAUUUUCUGUCAUAUAUUCAUCGUACAAACACUUUGUCACUGCACUCCACCAAACACGGCACAAAAUGAGUUAAAAAGCAAGCACCACGGUGCUAUAGAAAACAGUACAGCAGUUCCUCAAAAUAUUAAACAUAGAAUUACCAUAUGAUCUAGCAAUUCCACUUCUAGGCAUCACCCAAAAGAAUUGAAAGCAGGAACUCACAGAUUCUUAUACACCCAUGUUCAUCGCAACAUUAUUCACAAUGACCAAAAGGUAGAAGCAAGCCAACUACCUGGCUAUUGAGGGAUGGGUGGAUAAACAAAAUGGGGAAUGUAUAAUGGGAUAUUAUUCAGCCUUAUAAAAGAAGGAAUUUGCAACACUUGCCGUAACACGGAUGUACCUUGAAGACAUGAUGCUAAGUGAAACAAGCCAGUCACAAAAGGACAAACACCCUACGAUUCCAUGUCCAUGAAGCACCUAGAAUGGUUAACUUCAUAGAGACAGAAAGGAGAAUGGUGGUUGCCAAGGGUUGGAGGAGGGGAAAACGGGGAGAUAUUGUUCAGUAGAUGUGGAUCUUCAGUUUAAGACAACGAAAAAUUUCUGAAGAUGAAUAGUAGUGAUGGUGGCACAACAAUGUGAAUGUACUUAAUGCCCCCUACUAUACACUGACAAAUAGUUAAGAUGGUAAAUUUUAUGUCACAUUUCUCACAAUUUAUUAAAGUAUUAAAAACACUUAAGGAUAUAAUAGAAGAAAAUAUUCCUGAAGUAAAGAAAUAUGGGGGAAAAAUCAGAAAUCAUCCCUCUUCUGGAGGCAGAUACUUUAAACAAUUGUGGCAAGGAUGCAGACACAAAGCAAGACACAAAGAGAGAACAAGCUAGGGAAAAAUCUUUUUGACUUCAACUGAAUAAGUAUAUGUAGUGCAUUUACAGUUGUUUGUUCAACCUUGUUCUCCUUAGCACACCCCCUAAGGAGAUUGUUCAGACAUUUCUUCCCUAGCCGUCCCCUGAUGAAAGUUUAAAACCAGAGAUAUACUCUGUAUCUGUUUACGUGCUAUUAGGGUCCUUUACAAGGGCACAGACUACUGUAAUAUAGAAGAUAUUUCCUUCCCCCAGAACCAAUUUUCCCCACUUGGAGACAAUAGAACCCUCUGGGAGAAGGCAUGGUUUACUGCAUUUGCCACUCUAAAAAAUAAGUGCUAUGACAAAUAGCAAAUUUGACUGAAAUAAUCACAGGACUGGGGAUGCACACAUACUAACCAACGCUAAGAUGCGUCGAAAAGUCUUACGCCAAUAUUAAAAGUUUAUGCACACUACUAAACUUCUGAACGAAAAGCGAGAAAUUCAUUUUUAGUGUCUUCCUACAUCUGGAAGUUGCAAUUAUAUAGGUGCAACAUUUAGGUGGUUGACAACAUUUUGAAAAGCUUAAUACAGAUAUUCGGUAUCAUGUGAAUAAUACAGCAUCACCAGUGCUGUUUAACAUAAUCAAGCAGAAUUUACUUCUCUACGUGGUACAAUGACAUACACAGAUUUUAAAGAAAAGCUCCAUAAUUGUUCUUAUUAACUAGAACUGCGGGAGCCUUAAAAUUCUGCUACUCAAAGUGUGGACGUUGGGCAAGCCUAUGAUCACAUGGGAACUUAUUAAAUAUGCAGAAUGAUAAGCUCCGCCUUAGACCUACUGACACAGAAUCUGUAGUUCAACCAGAUCUCCAGAUAACUCUCAUGCAUAUUAAGGUUUGAGACGAACCGCCUGUAAAAGACAACAAUUGAAAUGCUUUCCUAACUCAUCAGAGCAUUUUGUUUUUUAACCAAGUAGAUUAAUUACUCCACUCAUAGUACCAUAGGGCCUACAGGAAAGGUAAACUAGAAAAUAAGCAUAUGAAAUUGUUAAAAAAUAUAAAUAUAUCGAUAGGCACCCACAGUUCCUCUUCAGAAGCAGUAGCAGUGGGCCCUUCACCAGAGCUUUGACUAGUGAUGCUCUUCCAAGCCUUAGCUUUCUAGCACAGAAGGAAACAUCCUUCGAGGAGCAAGGGUGACGAAGGGUGGGAUUCCCCUUUCUUUGUAACCCCAAGUGUGGUGUCCAAAAAUGGCUUCUCCCAUCCACUAGCCCAACCAUCCUCACCGUUCCACCAGAUGGCUUCACUCUUGGAGGUAUGAAAGAUUUUCCUAUGGUCUUCUUAAAACACCAAGGCUUAUAUGGUUAUCAACUAAAACUUUACCAGUUAAAUCUGAACCGGAAGCAGUGGGACCCAGCGGGGAGCCAGAGAAAGGGAGGGACCCUGGAAAGAGGUUGAUCUCUCCCCUUAGUACUGAGCUAAUAGCCCAGUGGCGCGGAGGCAAGGGUACUUACUAGCUACAGAGAUCAAAUCCAACCUCUGCCACUCACCACCUAGGCGAUCUUGAACCGAUUGCUCAAUAUCUCUGAGCCUCAAUUUCCUCACCUAUAAAAUUAGCCUUAUUAUGUCUACCUCAGAUGCCAUUAUGAAGGCUAAAUGAGAUCUUGCUGGUCAACUCCCAAAACAAGCGUUUAAUACAUUUCAUUCCCUCCUGCUAACCAACCCCUCCGCCCAGGGAGCAAUAACUUAUUUUCAUCUACCAAAUUUGAAAGGAAAGUGUUUUACCUCACAGUCCCAAAUUAAAGGAACAGGAAGUGCUUUAAUCAGAAACCACAUAUGCUAGCUUUAAUGAGCGGCUUCACCAAAACCAGAGGGGGCCACGAUGCUCUCUGGGCCUGUGAAAGAUUACAUAACUCUGAAACCGCCCGUCAGCAGAGAGCUGAAUUCCCCUCUUAGACAUAUUCAUGUGUCCUCCUCUCACAGAAAGAGUGGAAAUUCAAGUUAGUGAAAAGCAAACUAAGCCACCAAAAUAUCUUAGUUCACAAGAAAUCGCAGUACAAUGCCUAUGCGUAAAAUUCACAGUAACUCUGAGGCAACUUCAAAAAUUGAUUUAAGAGAUCCAAGAGUCUUAGAAAAAAAAAAAAAAAAAAAAAAAAAAUCCCCCUACCGAUUUUGCCUCCAUCAGCCAAGGCCGAAGUAACAUCUACCUCCCACUUGGGUAUCCGGGCCUUUCUCACCGCCAGGUUGCCUCUGGCACCCUCGGGCAGUGCAUCAAACGUGAAAUUCAGCCUCCAGGUCUUCCUGUUAACCUGGGGGGGGGGGGAUGGAGAAGCCACCAGAUCAGUCAGGUAUAAGCCAAAGGGAAAUGGUUUGCUCAGGAGCCAUUCAUUGUAGGUCAGUCAGAAAAUCUUCCCCCUCAUUAGUGCUCUCCAGGGCUCCCUAACUUCAGAGUUUCUUUUGUUUUCUGAGAGCAGGACUUCCUUCAGGCCAAAGUAGAAUGAGAAAGGUUUGCCUCCUUUCCUCAAGAAGGAAAAGUCUGCGUCUGGGCAACUAAAUUAUGCUGACCCUGGUCGUCACCUCCAUGGGGGGGGGGGGGGGGGGGUGGAGAAGGGCCACUGAUUUCUUAUGCUCCUCAUCCCAGACUGACACUCCUGUGGUCCCAGGGCUCUUCCCCUGUACCCUGCCCCACUGUGACUCGAGCGUAAGCCAACUGGAGAUCGCACGUUGUAUUCUGACUCCAAAUAAAAAGACUUCAGGAUGAUGUUCAUGUGUAGAUGCUCUGUUUGGUUGAUGGAUGCACUCCUCAGAGAUUCCUGAGGGCAGCGGAUAAACCUUGUGGGUGUUUGGGGCGUGGGGGUGACUGGGUGACGGGCACUGAGGGGGGCACUUGACGGGAUGAGCACUGGGUGUUAUGCUCUAUGUUGGCAAAUUGAACUCCAAGAAAAAUAAAUAAAUUUCAAAGAAAACCUUGCAAAUGCUCCUCUCCUUUUACCGUCCAAACCACCUACUGUCCAAGGAAAACAUAUCUCACCUACCCAGACAAUGUAUUUCUUUAGAUGGCAGAUUUCUAGUGGGGAAAUCCACAGGCACCAAGGGCUUAAAGCGUACGUGCGUAGGGAAUGUCCUCCUCUCUGGGACACCCCCACCCCUUGACAGCCGGCCUCCAAAUCCCUGCGGAGCGGGGGUCGAAUCCACCCUACCUACAAGUCACGAAGCUCCUCCAAAUACUUUAUGCAGACUGCCAUGAACCUGGGGGUCCGGCCAAGCCAUCCCAUUUUAGGGCUUCCCGCGUUCGAGAAAUCGUCUCGCAGCACUUGUCUUUACCUUCACUGGGGCGCCGUAGGGCUCGGAGAGGGCGCUGCGGGAGUGGGGAAGGCACCCGUGCCUCGGCUCCCCCCGCACGC
RNAcentral lists this long non-coding RNA (7225 nucleotides) under Canis lupus familiaris (dog). Its description in RNAcentral is "lncRNA (ENSCAFG00845021813.1)". The record is from RNAcentral. Lineage: Eukaryota; Metazoa; Chordata; Mammalia; Carnivora; Canidae.